Molecule: ribosomal RNA, 643 nt
Filed under: uncultured bacterium
Lineage: Bacteria
Description: bacterial SSU rRNA
Rfam family: Bacterial small subunit ribosomal RNA
Source: RNAcentral
CAAAGGAAGCGAUUCCGGCAACGGAUGGGCAUGCGUGACAUUAGCUAGUUGGCGGGGCAACGGCCCACCAAGGCGACGAUGUCUAGGGGUUCUGAGAGGAAGGUCCCCCACACUGGUACUGAGACACGGACCAGACUCCUACGGGAGGCAGCAGUGAGGAAUAUUGGUCAAUGGGCGCGAGCCUGAACCAGCCAAGUCGCGUGAGGGAUGACGGCCCUACGGGUUGUAAACCUCUUUUGUCGGGGAGCAAAUUCCGCCACGUGUGGCGGAGUCGAGAGUACCCGAAGAAAAAGCAUCGGCUAACUCCGUGCCAGCAGCCGCGGUAAUACGGAGGAUGCGAGCGUUAUCCGGAUUUAUUGGGUUUAAAGGGUGCGUAGGCGGACUGUCAAGUCAGCGGUAAAAUACGGGGGCUCAACCUCCGCCCGCCGUUGAAACUGACGGUCUUGAGUGGGCGAGAAGUAUGCGGAAUGCGUGGUGUAGCGGUGAAAUGCAUAGAUAUCACGCAGAACUCCGAUUGCGAAGGCAGCAUACCGGCGCCCAACUGACGCUGAAGCACGAAAGCGUGGGUAUCGAACAGGAUUAGAUACCCUGGUAGUCCACGCAGUAAACGAUGAAUACUAGCUGUCCGGGGCGAAUGAGCCCU